Molecule: ribosomal RNA, 280 nt
Filed under: uncultured bacterium
Lineage: Bacteria
Description: partial 16S ribosomal RNA
Rfam family: Bacterial small subunit ribosomal RNA
Source: RNAcentral
UGCCAGCCGCCGCGGUAACACGGGGGGCGCAAGCGUUAUUCGGAAUUAUUGGGCGUAAAGGGCGCGCAGGCGGUCUUGUCAGCCAGGUGUGAAAGCCCGAGGCUCAACCUCGGAACUGCCUUUGAUACUGGCAAUCUUUGAGUCCGGGAGAGGUGAGUGGAAUUCCGAGUGUAGAGGUGAAAUUCGUAGAUAUUCGGAAGAACACCAGUGGCGAAGGCGGCUCACUGGCCCGGUACUGACGCUGAGGUGCGAAAGCGUGGGGAGCAAACAGGAUUAGAUA